RNAcentral lists this ribosomal RNA (204 nucleotides) under uncultured bacterium. Its description in RNAcentral is "partial 16S ribosomal RNA". It matches the Rfam family "Bacterial small subunit ribosomal RNA", at positions 1296 to 1500 of the family's 1533-position model. The record is from RNAcentral.
GAUUGCAGGCUGNAACCCGCCUGCAUGAAGUCGGAAUUGCUAGUAAUCGCGGAUCAGCAUGCCGCGGUGAAUACGUUCCCGGGCCUUGUACACACCGCCCGUCACACCAUGGGAGCCGGUAAUACCCGAAGUCAGUAGCCCAACCUCGUGAGGACGCUGCCGAAGGUAGGAUUGGCGACUGGGGUGAAGUCGUAACAAGGUACC